GAGAUAAGAGUAUAAAACAGUAGGUUACAGAAUCGUGUGCAGUAAAUCUUCCUAGAACAAUAGGGUUCUUGAAAACCUCAAAUCUAAGACUCAUAAAACGAUUGAUUUUGUGCAGAUCUUUAAGGUAUCAAAUCUAACUUUGAAGAAUUUUGUUAACCAUGGGGACAACAAGAAUUGACAUGUUGCCUGAUUGUGUCACUCAUAUUGUUCUGUCUCACCUUGGCUUUAAAGAAGCAGCCCGGAUGAGUAUUAUCUCCAAAACAUGGUUACGUGCCUGGUUAACACAUCCAAAUUUAGAAUUCAGAAUUUAUGAUUUCAAAUGCAUAAAAACAAUAGAUGAAAUCUUGGAAAGAUAUAGGGAAGAAAAUAUCCCUAUAGAAAAGCUUAGUUUCUAUGUUUCUGGUGAAGUUUUUCCCCUGAUUGAUAAGUGGUUUCGAAUUGCUCUCCAAAAUGGUGUUAAGUAUCUUGAAUUUGGAUAUACUGAUUAUGGUUGUCAUUUCCAACAUAUAUUAUUGUACCCCUUGCCUGUUUUCACUAUCUUGGCAGCAAAAUCUUUAAGAAAAUUGGUUCUCAAGGACUGUGAUCUCAUGCAACUUCCGUUAUUAUCUAGUGGUGUGGCCAAUUAUUGCGAUUCUUUGAGAGACCUUUCUCUAAUAGGUGUUCGUUUAGACGAUAACAUGCUUCAGACUCUGUUAACUACUUGUCCUAUGAUUGUCAGUUUCACCAUUAAACAUUGUAUUGGGUUGGAAAAGAUUGAGUUGCGGAAUCUCCAGAAGAUCAAGAUGGUUUUCAUUCAUAUCGAUAGAAAACAGCCUGUCGAAAUUCAAGCACCAACUCUUGAACACUUGUUUUAUUGUGGUCUUGCGGAAAAGAGCCUUAAGUUGGAUAUUGUUGCAUGUCUUAAUCUGAAAUCUUUAAAGCUAUCAUGUGUGAAGAUAUCUGAUCGAUUUCUCGAGAAAGUUACUUUUGAAUGUCAAUCCCUUGAGAGUUUGAUGUUAGAUAACGUCGUUAGUAAAGGGAGUAAAAAGUUUAAAGUUUGCGGGAGUCAAUCUCUUAAGAAAUUGGAGAUUCGUGGUUGUGAUGCCAUAGCGGUGAUUGAUGAAGCUCCAAAUUUGGAAUCACUCGAGUAUGUUGGAUGCCAUAUUCCUGUGCUUAAAACUGGGAAAACAUUUGGCCCAUUGAAGCACUCACGUAUGGAAUUAUAUCACUGCAGCAAUUUAAAUGCUUUAUGGUUCUGUAAAUUGAGGAAAUUUCUAUUCAACUCGAACUCUUUGUUUCAAAUUACCCUUCACUUCCCCAAAUGCAUUAAAAUCGACAUGGGACAUUGGGAUCCUUAUCGUGGAUUAUUUACUAUCCCCCAAGUGGACGUGUUAAAUGUGCAUUUAGCUUGGUCAAUGGAGUGUCCAGUUUUUAUGGAUGCUUUAUUAUGGAGCUGUCAUCCUAGGAGACUCAACUUAUUCUCGACUAUACAAAUGAUUACAUGUUUCAACAAUCAUUUAAUGCGUACGAAGAGUUCAAGUCUUUCUAGUUCUCAUGGAAGCAAGCCUUGGCAAAGUCAAUUAGUAGAUGUGCGAGUCCAUAGAGAAGACUUGAGCGGGCAGCCUGUGGAACAUAACGAGAAGAGGAGAAUUUGUUUUUCAUUAGAUUGGAGCAAAGGGUGGUAUGGGAGUCAGUAACCUCAGAAUCUAAAAUCUUGUUUGCGUCAUGGUGAUGCAAUCACGCCAUAUGGGUCGGCUGAGGCACUACUCUUAGCUUGUAAAAUCGCGAUCAUGGGCCUGAGGGCUGAGAUCAUGGCCUCAAAAGAGGAAGAGAACGGCCAGAAAAGAGUUCGUUAAGGGUAUCCACGAGCUGAAUAGAAGGAUGUAAGAAAGAUAUAUCAUCCAAAAUUUCUGGCGAACAAAGUGAAAAAGAGUUCUAUAAGUUUCUUUGUUCAUGAAAGAUGGGUAUACGUGUAAGGAUAUUGAGUUUUCCAGCUUUCAUGAAGGGUCGCGAUGGGAGGAAAUUGCUGGUUUGUCAAGGCUAUCGGAUCUGCCAAAUAGAGUACUUUGGCAAACCCAAAGUAUAGGCUCUUACAUUACUUCCAAAUCGGUCUAUCUAAUGGGCUUCGCAAUUUUAGGAGCUUCUCAAUGUUGAAUUGCUAGUAGAACUCAAUGUUCUUUUUUGGCAAUAACUGUGAUUUACGUCAAGGCUGCCUAGUUGGAACAAGAGCAACCCGAAACCUGUUGCAGAGUCCGAUUUUCAAUAAGGGGAUACAAAACAUAAAAAGACAAAUACAUGUUGAAGCUAAGCGGAUUCAACAUUUAAUUUAUAUACAUAAAAAGUAAAUUUAACUUUGUAUAUACAGUGAAACUUUCCAAAGAAUAGGGGAUUCAGAUGAACCCCUUGCGCCCCUAGCUCCGCUUCCUGUCUGCUGAAACCAUCAAUGAGAAUUCGCUACAGCUUCCUUGUCACAACCUCGCGAGUAAUCCCGAGGCCUCCGUACCGGAGACUUCAGGGUGAGCCAUGCCACAUCCGCAGCCCAGAGCCUCCUUCUCUUACAUAUCUGUCCUUUGCUUUCUUGAGACAAUUAUUUCAUGUUGUUACGAGACUAUUCUAGUUUUCACACAUUGUUAUUAGGAUUAGUUGCUCUUGUACUGUUUCAGACUAGAUCUCUUGGGUUGUAAUGUUGCUUACUCCGCACUUUUAUCAUUAUGCUUCGAUUGAGACUUGAAUUAUCAUUGCUUAAAUUUCGUAU
This is an RNA transcript of Lycium ferocissimum, 2734 nucleotides long. It is a transcript of the gene named F-box protein At5g03100-like, with no coding region annotated. The record is from RefSeq and is a predicted model, not a curated record. NCBI's taxonomy places the organism in Eukaryota, Viridiplantae, Streptophyta, Magnoliopsida, Solanales, Solanaceae. The transcript is spliced from 5 exons.